Molecule: ribosomal RNA, 301 nt
Filed under: uncultured bacterium
Lineage: Bacteria
Description: partial 16S ribosomal RNA
Rfam family: Bacterial small subunit ribosomal RNA
Source: RNAcentral
CAGUGCCGCGGUAAUACAGAGGGUGCGAGCGUUAAUCGGAUUUACUGGGCGUAAAGCGUGCGUAGGCGGCUAAUUGAGUCGGAUGUGAAAUCCCCGAGCUUAACUUGGGAAUUGCAUUCGAUACUGGUUAGCUAGAGUGUGGGAGAGGAUGGUAGAAUUCCAGGUGUAGCGGUGAAAUGCGUAGAGAUCUGGAGGAAUACCGAUGGCGAAGGCAGCCAUCUGGCCUAACACUGACGCUGAGGUACGAAAGCAUGGGGAGCAAACAGGAUUAGAUACCCCAGUAGUCCCUGUCUCUUAUACA